Molecule: long non-coding RNA, 680 nt
Filed under: Numida meleagris (helmeted guineafowl)
Lineage: Eukaryota; Metazoa; Chordata; Aves; Galliformes; Numididae
Description: lncRNA (ENSNMEG00000008365.1)
Source: RNAcentral
GGUUGACUGACUGGAAAGCAGCUUUGUGGGAAAGGAUCUGGGUGUUCCGGUGGGCACCAAGCCAAACAGGAGCCAUCAGUGUUCCCUUGCCACAUAGGAGACUAAUUAUAUCAUGGGCUGCAUUAGGCAAAAGAUUGACAAUAAGUCAAGGACAGUGAUUCUUCCUCUUUACUCAGCACUGGUGAGGUCAAAUCUGAAGUGCUCACAAUCCUCACAUGUCCUUUGAUUCAAAGGAAGAUUCAUGAGCACUUAUGCUUUCCCUCAUUACUGUGAUACAUCAGGACGUAAAAUAAAUAUGUUACAGUAGUUUACUUCAAUAAAGAUAAAAAAACUGAUUUUUAUAAGGCUAAAGUAGAAAUUUACUACUGUCAAAAAGAGGAAAUGAAAUCUUCUGUAAGCUUAAUUCAAGGAGCUGAAAAGAAUGCAGGUUAUAAAAUCAAAUUUAUUUUUGAAUAGGUAUAAAAAUUCUAUAGAUGAUUUUAUAUUUAAGGAGAAUGAACCAGCCUGAAGACUUCUCAUUAACUUUCAAGGGCCAUUUGGCAGAUAAUGGGAUUCAUCCACUAAAACACUUAUUUUUCUUGUCUUAUAGACACAUAUGCUUAUCUCGGAACAACAAGAUCCCCUGUAGGAAGAAAAAUCUUGUCUGCUUUGAGGCCAGAAGAAAAAAGGAGUUUUCAUAG